GACGAACGCUGGCGGCGUGCUUAACACAUGCAAGUCGAACGGAAAGGCUCCAGCUUGCUGGCGUACUCGAGUGGCGAACGGGUGAGUAACACGUGGGUAAUCUGCCCUGCACUCUGGGAUAAGCCUGGGAAACUGGGUCUAAUACUGGAUAUGACCUUUCUCCUUAUGGGGUUUGGUGGAAAGUUUUUCGGUGUAGGAUGAGCCCGCGGCCUAUCAGCUUGUUGGUGGGGUGAUGGCUUACCAAGGCGACGACGGGUAGCCGGCCUGAGAGGGUGAUCGGCCACAUUGGGACUGAGAUACGGCCCAGACUCCUACGGGAGGCAGCAGUGGGGAAUAUUGCACAAUGGGCGGAAGCCUGAUGCAGCGACGCCGCGUGAGGGAUGACGGCCUUCGGGUUGUAAACCUCUUUCAGCAGGGACGAAGCGUAAGUGACGGUACCUGCAGAAGAAGCACCGGCUAACUAUGUG
RNAcentral lists this ribosomal RNA (467 nucleotides) under uncultured bacterium. Its description in RNAcentral is "partial 16S ribosomal RNA". It matches the Rfam family "Bacterial small subunit ribosomal RNA", at positions 28 to 507 of the family's 1533-position model. The record is from RNAcentral.